AGAGUUUGAUCCUGGCUCAGAAUCAACGCUGGCGGCGCGCCUAACACAUGCAAGUCGAACGAGAAAGCAGGAGCAAUCUUGUGAGUAAAGUGGCGUACGGGUGAGUAACACGUGGAUUAUCUACCCUCUUGUGGGGGAUAACCCUGGGAAACCGGGGCUAAUACCGCAUAAGCUCGAGAGAGGAAAGCAGCAAUGCGCAGGAGGAGGAGUCCGCGGCCGAUUAGCUAGUUGGUAGGGUAAAAGCCUACCAAGGCUACGAUCGGUAGCCGGCCUGAGAGGGCACACGGCCACACUGGCACUGAAACACGGGCCAGACUCCUACGGGAGGCAGCAGUGGGGAAUCUUGCACAAUGGGGGCAACCCUGAUGCAGCGACGCCGCGUGAGCGAUGAAGCCCUUCGGGGUGUAAAGCUCUUUCGGCAGGGAAGAUUAUGACGGUACCUGCAGAAGCAGCUGCGGCUAACUACGUGCCAGCAGCCGCGGUAAUACGUAGGCAGCAAGCGUUGUUCGGAGUUACUGGGCGUAAAGGGUGUGUAGGCGGUUCUCUAAGUCUGGUGUGAAAUCUCCCGGCUCAACUGGGAGGGUGCGCCGAAAACUGGAGGACUAGAGUGCGGGAUGGGAGAGUGGAAUUCCUGGUGUAGCGGUGAAAUGCGUAGAUAUCAGGAGGAACACCUGUGGUGUAGACGGCUCUCUGGACCGCAACUGACGCUGAGACACGAAAGCGUGGGUAGCAAACAGGAUUAGAUACCCUAGUAGUCC
Molecule: ribosomal RNA, 758 nt
Filed under: uncultured bacterium
Lineage: Bacteria
Description: bacterial SSU rRNA
Rfam family: Bacterial small subunit ribosomal RNA
Source: RNAcentral